UUUAAAACUGUAUAUAUAUGUCCAUGUUAUAACAUUUUUUAAAAAGACCGUCUGCAGACCAAGAUGCUACAGUGAUUAUCCUAGAACGAAGAAAUCAAUUCUUUUUUGUGUGUGCUUAACUGUAUAUUGUCAGUUUUUGCAAUGGAAAUGCAUUAUGUUUGUAAUCAUAAAAGAACACACUUACUGGAUGAAGAGGGAGGACCCUGAUACGUGUACUAAGAAGACAGCAUGGGCCCAUGCAUCCGACCACGCGAUUGGUGUCACGUGCUUGACCAGCUGUUUAUCAGCUUUGCCCCUCCACUUGCGAGUUGGCUGAGCAUAGAUGCUCCAGGUGAGUCAUGCCCAGCCUGUCAUCAGAUAGCACAUCAGCAUAAAUGCAGUAUCACUUCAGGGCUGUGAGAUCUCAGAGGGAGGGGAAAGGGUGAACUAGACAAUCAAGAGGGGCUUCCUGAAGGAGGUGGCAAACUGUAUCAGCUGAAGCUGGGCAGGACGUAGAGGGCAUCUUGAGUAAAAGAAGCAACUGGACUCUCGGGAAGAGAAGAGGAGGGCCCAGGUGCCACGGCCCCUACAAGACAAGACUAGGGGACUGGAGGACCAGACUGGCAGAUGGCAGACCCCUUUGCCAUGAGCACAUGCAAUGUGGGGCCAGUUCUUAGUGACAUUUCAGACAGUGGCCAGAGGACAGCAGGACGUGGUGGUCGUCUCCCCCCUGCCACAGAGGACACAGUGGGCCCAGCACCUCAGCCACAUGUGAUGGAGCCUCCAGGCCUGCCCAGCACCUACUGCCCUGGGACAGGCUCUCUUUCAAGUCAGCUCCUCUGUCCAGGAAGCAUCUGAGAGGCCCUGUGGUCCUGGCCGAGGAGGCAGGCCGUACGGAGGGCAGGCCCGAGGACCCAGGUGUGGGCACACUCCGUGUGGAGUGGUCUCUGAGGCCAGACCUGCAGUGCCUGUUUCCUGUGCCCUGGGGACCUGGAGAACAGAGGACCGAUGGGCACUGCAGCAGGGCGGAGCAGGCCUGAGCCCAGCUCGAGGAAAGCUUGCCUUCUUGUCUGGUGUCCCCAUGUUUGACAUAAUUAGAAAUCUGUGUGUGAAAAAUUUUUAAGCAAUUGAAAGGAGCGGGGGUGUGGUGGGAAGAAUUAUUAAAUAACAAAAAACAAAAUCAAUCCUCGGUUUGGCCUGGCCAGAUGAGCGUUUCUCAGCUCAGGUUACCACUGGCAAUGGUCCCGCUGGUGGCUCUGUCCCUGCUUCAUUCAGGUUGCUCUUCUCCAGCCUCCCACCGUUCCCUCGUCACGGCUCUCCCAGCGCCUCCUCAGCACCGUUCCAGCCUCUACCUGAUGCCCACUUCGAAAAC
Rhinopithecus roxellana (golden snub-nosed monkey) is the source of this 1351-nucleotide long non-coding RNA. RefSeq lists it as uncharacterized. Lineage: Eukaryota; Metazoa; Chordata; Mammalia; Primates; Cercopithecidae. The transcript has 3 exons. The record is from RefSeq and is a predicted model, not a curated record.